CAGCCGUAAACGAUGCGCGUUAGGUGUAUCGGUGACCACGAGUCACCGAGGUGCCGAAGGGAAACCGUGAAACGUGCCGCCUGGGAAGUACGGUCGCAAGGCUGAAACUUAAAGGAAUUGGCGGGGGAGCACAACAACGGGUGGAGCUUGCGGUUUAAUUGGAUUCAACGCCGGAAAUCUUACCGGGACCGACAGCAACAUGAAGGCCAAGCUGAAGACUUUGCCGGAUUAGCUGAGAGGAGGUGCAUGGCGUGGUCGUGU
Molecule: ribosomal RNA, 261 nt
Filed under: uncultured archaeon
Lineage: Archaea
Description: partial 16S ribosomal RNA
Rfam family: Archaeal small subunit ribosomal RNA
Source: RNAcentral